RNAcentral lists this long non-coding RNA (527 nucleotides) under Carica papaya (papaya). RNAcentral's name for it is "long non-coding RNA (CPAP_LNC005992)". Lineage: Eukaryota; Viridiplantae; Streptophyta; Magnoliopsida; Brassicales; Caricaceae. The record is from RNAcentral.
CUUAAUCCACCCAUGCCACUUGUCUACAAAUUCCAUUCUCCUUAGUAAAUAAUUAAAAAAUCUCUAAUUCACAUGAUCGUAAACUUUUUCUACACUUAACUUGUAGAUGACACCCCCCUUCUUUCGGUCUAACAGAUUGUCCACCACCUUAUUGGCAACAAGUACUGUAUGUAGAAUUUGCCUGCCUCCCACAAAAGAAUGUUGACACUCAACUUUAGCUUUAUUCGUUCCCUUGGGCAUUCUUCUAGUUAGUACCUUUGUAAUGAGCUUAUAAAUGCGUCCAACUAAAUUGGUUAGUCUAAAAUCCCUGAUAUUAGUUGUUUCCUCCACCUUAGCAAUGAAUAUCAGGAUAAGAAAUUUAAGGAUCUAACAAAGGACUUAGAUUUGUGCAAUCCUUUACAUUUUUAAAUAAAAAAAAUUCAUGUUAAAACAAUUGAGACUGGGAGCCUUAACCUUUUUACACUGCAUGAGUCCCUAAAAAAGCUUUUCUUCUGUGAAGUCUUUUUCCACUGACAACCUGCUUGUCU